UCUUGAGCUGGGAAACUUGGCUCUUCUGUCUUCCUGACUACAUCUGGACACUGGAUACGCCAGAAACCCUCACGGUCAUGGCUAGUGUUCUCCUAUGGAGGUGGAACGUGGAAAAAAGCUCGCGACUGGGGUCGAGGGUCUCGAAAUCCCACUAGAAUUAGGCGCCGCCUGCCAAUAAGGCUGUGAGAAGCCACCGCAAUAUGGGGAGCCACGACCCUGUCCAUGCGGGGAACCUGGAGCCAGCCUCCGGAGAGCCCACUCAGGCCGCCCUCUUUAUCUCCAUGGAGCGCACAGUCCGCGCACCUCUCCUUAAAUAUGCAAAUAUUGCUUCCUGAGGAGUAGGGCUGGAAGGCCUUCCGCAUUAAAGGCAGCGCUUACUGCUCCCAGCUGGAGGUCAAGUGAUGCGGUCAGAAGAGUCUCCAGUUGAGACGCUGCGCGUCUCGGUUUCCUCGUCUGCGCAAAGGGCACUCCCCAGACGACGCGGCCUUGAAGGACCAAGGGGCGCCGGGAAAGGUUUGGCCUUGUCGGAGCAUGCCAACAGACAGCAGAAUCACCAGCUACAUUUGCUAAGAGAGAUUGUGCCAAACUGAUGCACUUGACCGCCCGAGGAAACAACUCCCUGCUCUUCCAGGAAAAGGAGACCAAGAAAGACAAGCUACAGGGGCCAUCCUCGGAACACAACUUCGCAAAGUGCUGGCUGGCAGCCUGGUCUCCAGAAGUCACGCUGACUUUAUCCUUUUAUGGGUAUAGAGAACGAUCCUUUUAUGGAUUGCCUCAGCCCCACUCCCCACGUCCUGCCAUCUUGAAUUCCUGGUCAGCAUUUGCCCUCCAGAGAAAGGUUGAACCUCCCGAGGCUGAGGUAACCCAUAGCUAGUCUGUGCUGUCCAGAAGAUGGCAUGGGGUCCCACAAAGGAGGUACAAUCUCACGCAGCCAAAGGAGUCUUUACGGAUGAAACCUGAACGGGACAGAGAGAGCUUUGACCUUCUGCCUAACACGUUGAGUCAGCUGGUAGUUGAGUUCGGUUGGUUGGCUGUGUCUCAGAUGUCAGUAGGAGACGAAGCAAAGAUGUUCUGCUUGCUGAAGUUUCCUUUCUCCAUGGACCAGAUGUUCUUUUUGGAAAGAGCCCUGGAUUUGGAAUCGCAAAAACCUGGAUUUAAACCCUUUUCUGUCAUUUACCCUAGUGACCUCCCUAAGCCCAAUGCCCUCGCCUAACCAGUGAAAAUCUCACAGUCCCAGCUGGUAAAUGGCAGAGCUUGGAUUUGAAUCCAGGACUCUUGACUCCACCUCCACCUGCAGUCGAAUAUAGAUGGCAAAGAGAUGUCUAAACUGCACGCAAAAGGGCAGGCUUGGUAAAUGUGAACACCUCCUCCGGUGGCUGAAAGCCAGGAAGGAGUGAGAGAGCAGAUUGAGAGAGCAGACGCUAAUGUUCCCCAUUAAUCAAGGCAGAGUGUGUGCUCUGUUGCCCUUAAGAGGGCUUAGGACUUGGAAAUUGCUUCUGCUUCACAGCCUGUCUCUGGCACAGCCUGGGCUAGAGCCCUGGGGGUACUGGAGACACUGCCCAGAUACGUGGUCUGCUCACCUACACCCUCGGCCCGACUCCUUUCAUGGCCCUUCCAUUUCACAACCGUCC
Long non-coding RNA from Lynx canadensis (Canada lynx), 1631 nucleotides. The record is from Ensembl. Lineage: Eukaryota; Metazoa; Chordata; Mammalia; Carnivora; Felidae.